GGAGACGGCACCAGUGGCCCCUCUUCACACUGUGAGAGAAGGAGACAUGGAAGGAAAGCUGGGAUCGUCACAGUGCUAUUGCCUCUUGAAGUCAAAUUGUGUCGUCCUCUUCAGAGCCGUGUGACGCAGAGUUUAUUAUGGAGGACUUGAAGCCCGAGGGCUGGCGGCAGCUACUUCAGCCCCAUGGUGCAGCUGGCAAAAACAGCACAAGUCUCCUUCGCAGGUCCUCAUCAUGGAGGAGGCCUGGGGAGCGGGGUUAUUACGAGGGCCCCGCGGCGCAGGUGAAUGAGCCCCCUCGCAGAGCUCGUCCACUGAGCUGCAUAGAGGGUGGCAGGAUGGACAAAUGGCUUCAGACACUAGAGAGACUCCAAUCACGUCGGCUUCAGAAUCAAAUACCUCCGUUUGUGGACAGGACGAUAUCAAUGCCAGUUCCCUCGAAUGAGACAGCGGGAAGUAACCCACUGUGUCCUGAUGUUUCCUCUCUGCGCAGGAGGAAUCAGACCCCUAGCGUCUGUCCCAGAGUGAGUGAAAGCUCCUCGAGCAGUCUGGAGUCUGUUCACAUUAAAGCUGCUCCCGCUGCAGAAAGAGCUCAGUUCUGCGCUCUCGCUCCAGUUCACUUCGGCUGGCUGCCCAUACAAAGACAUGUGAUACUGACAGACAUCUGUCAUAACCACCAUGACAACAGUAGGUGCCAGAAACUGAAGUCUCCCAUCACUCCAGUGUUGCUCAGCACUCCUGCCAAACUUAAUGGACCAAGACCAAAUGACAGGGAGACUUCGAGGCCUGAACCUGUAGGCUUUAGAUACUGGAAAACACCUGAAAAAACACCAUCCGUCCUCCAUCAGGCUUCGGGAUCCGUGAGCACUGAGGGAGGACGAAAUGGACCACAAGCCUGGAAUCCGAAAGCCGAGAUAGACACAUGCCACGCUGGACCACAUCCCAUGUUGAGAAAUCCCACAUGCAGGCGUGGAAGUGCGCCGGAGUCCUUCAGCUCCUCGAUAUCAUCCAUCACUAUCACUUCCAGGAAGGUCACGCACACAAACUCCAGGCCUCUGAGUCCAGCGAUGAAUAGCCUCGCCGAUGGACACAGAAAAGCUUUAGUGGUCAAAGUCACUGAACAGAGGACGAAAAGCACUUCCAGUCUGCCCAUCGCCUCGACCUCUGGCUCUGAUCAUGAAGAGAUGGACCAUGGUGUGGUCCUGAGAAGAAAGGCAACCAUUGUGAAAAUGACCGAACAGAGAGAGCGUUUCAGUCCAGUGAAAUACAGACACAGCUACACUGAAGGACUCCAUAAUGAAUCUAAAGUCAGUCCCUCACCAUUAAACCAACCGUUAACUAUAUCUCUAGAGCCAGGAGGAAACCAGUGGAGGUCCCAGCACAGAUCUAGCCUAUCUCUCUACCUCAACAACCCAAACGAUAGCAGCGCAGUAGGGGAGAGCAACACCAAAACACACAAGCCACCUCGAAGGCCUCUCAGCUGCGACGCAAGCCUGUUUAACCACACAGAACUUGGCAGUAAUGCAGUUAUACAGCCAGCGUUUCACAACAAGAGCUCUCCUGUUCCCCAGAAGACAAAUAUUGACCUUGUUAGUUCCAGCAGCAGCGAAGCAAGAAGGCGCUGGGCCUCCGGUGGCGAGGAUGGGAGCAAGAGGAAAGAGUGGGAUCGUGAGGAACCUAUUUCAGGAAUCAAUCCUCUCACGCUACUAAAAGCAGCAGAUAACUCGGCUGAUCUGAGCGCAGACGCCGUCCUGGCCCUGAACGCCGCUGCGGUUAUUGCCAACAUAAAGCUGCAGGCCCAGCAGAGACGAACUACAUCCCACACAGCAACAGCAGUGUGUUUAACAAAGGAUAGAGGGCAAAAUGAACACAGAGAGCUCAAAGAAGAGGCUGCUGGUGCUGAUGGAAGGAACAAAACAUGUCCAGCAGAUCAAUGUGUGGAUUUUGUCCCAUUCGAGUCCCAAAAUGACCUUUCUGAAACUGCUUUGGCUCCACUGUCACUUAGUGAGGCUUUAGUGAUCAGACGGCCCGAUUUCAUCCAGCGCUCACAGGCCAGGGUUCGAGCGCUCGAGAGGAGGUCGCAGGAGAGGCAGAACUCCCACAGCUCACCGCAGACAGUCGAGAGCGGAGGAAGCCUUGUGAAAUCCAAAGACAGAAGCAUCAUGGGAAAGAGUCUACAGCUGCGGUCCAGGAGGAGUUAUAACCAGCUGCCUGAGGUGAAGAAGAGGAGAGAGGAAGAAAAGAGGAGAAUAGAAGAGGAGAAAAGAAAACUGGCAUCUCGGACCAACAGGCUGCGGGCAGAGCUCUUUAAAAAGAAACUUCUGGAGCAGAUUUUGCAGAGGGGAGGAAAUCACUGACAUCGCCUUGGACUCGUGUUUCUCCUCACUCCACAGUUCUCAUGCCGGCCCUUGAAAAAUAUGACAUGACAUUAGUUAGAAAUGUUAUGGAAUAGUUCCUUCCAGAACGAAUGUGCCUCAAACAUGGACUGCAGCCUCAUUUCUGUGGCUCUGGAUUACAUCUUCUCUCUCUUUACAUACAUUACUGGUUAAACAUUUUGAAUAAUUAUGGUUUUAAUGUUACAGCUAGGCUUAUGUUCAGCUAUGCUGCAUUUAUUUGCUCAAAAAUACAGUAAAAACUGUAACAAAUUUGAAAUAUUAUCACAAUUUAAAACAACUGUUUCCAAUUUGAAUAUAUUUUAACAUGUAAUUUAUUCCUGUGAUGCGCAGCUGUGUUUUCAGCAUCAUUACUCCAGUCUUCAGUGUCACAUGAUCUUCAGAAAUCAUUCUAAUAUUCUGAUUUGCUGCUCAAGAAAAAUGUAUGAUUAUUAUCCAUGUUGAAAACAGUGUUUGCUGCUUCAUAUUUUAUAGAAACGUUGCAUUUUUCAGUCCUACAGAUUCUCAACAGUAUCACAUGGCAAACACAGGACAUCAGGAGAGUCUUUUGGCUUCUCAGAGAUGCUACAGUUGCCAUAUAGACAGAUUGUUUGCCCUUUCUGUGCCUCUAUCCCUGUCAUAUUAUAUUAUGUAAGAGACACAACAUAAAAGAGCACAUUACGGCUCCGGUCCUCAUCGCUAAAAGCCUAAAAUCCAACAUUUGAAGACAUUCUUAUAACAUGAAGGGCCUGAUCCCGCUCUCAUGCAGUCGUAGGUUCUGCGGGCUCAUUAUGACAUCACUAGCCUUCCUCUGUCCGUGUCUCUCCGAGCCAUUAGCCGGGAGCAAAAGGAAUUUGACCUCGUCUGAAUAAGAAUGCAUCACUAAUGGAGCCGAGUGCUUGCACGGGGUGAAAGAGGCUUUUGUCCUCUCUCUGAAUGAGCCGAGACUGUCCCACAUGUGCCUGCUUAGACGGGACACGACUGCGCAAUAGUCGAGUUAUAAACUGAAGCCUUGCAGUAAAACUUGACUUGAUAGACUUUAUAUUAUGUCCUAUCACUUUGUUUGGUAUCUUAACUAUCACAUUUCAAAAUCAAAAGAUUGGGCCAGAAGAUGUGAAGUGGAGUAAUGUAGCUUCCUUUGUGUGUAAAAAGAUGCAUUUUAGACCAGACAUUACACAAGUACAGAAAUGUAAGUGCAAAUGCUCAGCCUUUGGACAAAUUAUCCCUGUAAGUCCCUAUAAGGAAAGUCAUUUCACUCAGUGGCCGUCUUUGUAACACUAUUUCUGACAUGCAAGUAACAGCUUUUAUUUCUUUGAAUGGGGAAACAUCAAAUUCGUCUAAGCAAUGCAGCAAUAAAAUUGUCUGUUUAUGUCAUAUUUGCAUUUACAGGUUACUCAAGGGUGCGCUAGAAUUUUAGAAGAUGUUAUUCAGGUAAAUAGGCAUAAAUAUGACAUAUGUUUUAUGCCUGAGAUUCACAAACUUUUUUUUUCUUAACUGAAUCUGUUUAAUCAAAAACAUUAGAAAUAGUAAAUCUUUAAUUGCUUGAAGUCCUUGAUAUUUUAAUAAUUUAACAACCCAGUUCUCUAAUGACAGACAGUUAUGGAACUAAACAAAUAGCCUACAAUAUUUAAUCUUUUAUUGUAUCUGUUUUAUUUUGUUUGUUUUUUUAUUAUUUAUUAUGUUUUAUUAAUUUACAUUUUAAUUAACAAUAACUAUUAACUUUUCAUAAACUCAAAAAUCCCUGCAUUUUGGGAAACCCCUUUUAACUUGACACACCAUCUUAGAAAGCAAACAUUUGUGCCAAUGUUAUUUUACAGUUUCUACUAUAAUAUUCUGAAUUAGUUUUUAUUGUGAAAUUUCUGUUUACAAUUUAAUUUUAGGUAAAGUUUUUAUAAUUUUUACUGUGUUUUUGACAUUAUUUUUUAAUACGACUAUUUUUAUUCAUUUUAAUUUCAGUUUUAGUUAUUUAAACCAAAUAAUUUUUUAUAUUAAAAUGAUUCACAGGUUAAAUAUGCAUUCCCUAGUACAUAAGAUGCAAUGCAGUGGCCAAAAGAAAUCCAUCUGAUGUAUAGGUAGAAAACAUUGCAGACAAAACGCAAGAACGUUUCCUGCUUGAACAGCCCCCUAGAGUUUCCAUUUAUAUGCCAGUGUUGACAUUUCAGUUUUGUGCUUCAAAAAAAAAAAAAACGCAUGUUUUAUGCCUUCUUAUAUUCCUGUUAAACUUUUAGCACAAAUCUCAGAGCAGAUUUUGUCUUCGAGGCCAACUACAUUUAGUCUUUUCCUAAUGUCUUGCCGAAUAUUGAUGUGUUUUUGCAGCAGGGCUUUUCUCAGUAUUCUGGGCUUUGAGUUUGAUGCUAAUAAAAAUGACAGAAUCCUAAAAGCACAGUCCUAAAUAACAGGAAAUCAAAUACAUUUCGGCUAGAUGGAUGGAUGAAUAUUGCUCUUGAGAAACUUCUUCUGGCCUCGGAUGAAGAGCCGUGAUGAAUCAUAGCAGGAUGUUGAUUACUACAGCAAAAAUACUGACCUAGAAUCAGAGCGAACCACAUAAACCCAUAAAUCGCCUUUUCUCUGAGAAUAAAUGUGGUUCCUUAGAUACAAGAGGGUUUUACAAACUUUUAAAAAUGACAUGCUGAAUGAGCAAUAGGAUCUUUCAAAGGCAUUCGUGAAACUAGAAACCCUGUUGUCUGGGAUUGUAAAGUCUGAUGGACCCGAUCACCCCUGCUGAGGUCCCUACCUGGAGAUAUGUGAACCAGACCCCUUCUUCGAUAGCAGAACUGAAGGAUUACUUCAUCAGGUGAAAUAGAGACACCGCAGGAGCUCGUCUGGAGUCUGUUUCACACCUGAAGACAGCUGGUACAUUGACCCCGGGAUGGGACGGGACAAUCCCAGAACCUCUGAAUUACGUCAACAAAGAACUCGGGGCCCAUGAGGGCCAUUCUAGCAAAUGGGUCCUUUUGUGUUCCUCAUUAACAUAUGAAGUGCCCCAUGAACAAUUCAUGAAAAUAAUCCUAGUGGACAGUGAAAUACAUGAACUAUGGGACGAUCUUUGAGACGAAGACGUGUUUCAAAUGGAUUUCUGCUGUCUCUUAAAGUUGGAUCCAUUCCUGUCUGCUCUUUUGAAAUCGGGGCAAUGCAAGAACAGAAUGAUGAAAUCACAGUAUUCUGCUCUUUCGAAAUGAGGUUGCAUUCAUGUGGCUACAAACCGAACGCUGUUGAUGUUGUUAUUGUGCUCGGAUCUCUCCUGCGUGUGGAGUCUGAGCUUCCUUUCGUGUUCUUUAUUUGUUUCGGCUUUUAAAUAAUGCACAGGUUCAUCAUGGAUGUGUGGUGAUUUCACACCUGCAUUAUUGCUCUUGUGCUGCAGUAAAUCUCAGUGCACUAGUAUUGCCCCAGCAUGCAACUCUAACUGUGGUUUAAACAGAGCAGACCAUCUGCAUUAUUAAUUUACUUCUUUACUGAUAUCAUGAGAGGUCACAAGAGGUCAACCACAAAAUUUAAAUUAAGUAACCACAAAACAGUCUUUGAAAUCAUUUGGCUCAAUGCAUUUCUGAUAUCUAACAAUUGAUAUAUUUUCUGAUAUUCUAAUCAUGGGUUUAGACAGCAUAAUGACCAUUUCAAUUAAUUAUCAGCUUUUAAUGAAAAUGAUUACCACUGGAUCGAACUGAUCAAUAUGUGGUUUGUUGGCCUUUCAACUCACUCUUUAAAAGUCUUUUCCAUAGAAGAUAAUAAUGUUUACCAGAGUCAUAAAUCUCACCACAUACUUUUAUGCCAAAUAAUGCAUAUUAUAAUAGAAAUGUUAUGGAACACAAAUUCAUAUUCUGUCUAAAUGUAUGCUACUUAAAGUAAUGAAUGAAUGAUUGAAUUUAUUUUAUAAAUUAAAAUACAUUUUAUAUUUAUUUAUUUCAUUUAUUUAUUUACUUAAACAUUCCGAGUUUUUAAAAAAGCUUUUCUUCUC
Molecule: long non-coding RNA, 6321 nt
Organism: Cyprinus carpio carpio
Lineage: Eukaryota; Metazoa; Chordata; Actinopteri; Cypriniformes; Cyprinidae
Source: Ensembl